GAGGCAGUCCAGCCGCAGGGGCCACCCGAACAGUCUCUCCUCCUCACAGAAGCCUGGAGCUGGGCAUCCAAGAAGAAGCAGCCUCAUUUGUUUUCUGGUGUCAUCGUAGGUGGCCACCUAUGGCUUUUGGGCUUCUCACCUGGGGCGGGUGGGUUCUGCACCACCCUCCCACCCUCCUUCCUCCGUGUGGACGAUAGAGCCACAUCCAGCACCACGGACAGCUCCCGGGCGAUCCCAUGGGAGUAGAAGAGGUGUGAGCAGGUUGCCCAGCUGGUUAGCGGAAAUGCCAAGAUCCAGGCUCCUGAAUUUCAGCCUGGCCCUUUCUAUCUGUCUGAUACCUCCUUUACGAGUCUCUCUGCCUGCGUUGUGUGGAGCGGGCCUGCUGCUGGUUGGGGGAGUUUGCAGGUUGCCCCUAUGCAAAAAAGGACAGGAUGCAUGACUGGCAUGUAAGGUGUUCAGGAAAACCAGGAAAAGGUGGAACAGACUGCUACCUCUGUCUGAAGUGGUUUGGAGGGAAGGCCUCAGGGACAGGGCAUACCUAGCAGUAGCUGGCAAGCCCAUGGGAGAAAAGGCAAGGGGGCAACCAUCUGCCAGGGCACAGAGGCCAGGGGAUGGCCACAAGGAGUCUCCAGAGGCCAGUGGGAGUCAUGCAAACUGGAACGGGGCCUGGGAAAGGCCCUUCUGUGUGCCCAGGCCUGCCUCCCCAACACCGUGAGCCUAGAAACAAAGGGGCCAUUCUCUCUAGGAUUUGAUGCUGCCAUCUCCGGCUGGCAGUGCCAGGUGGUGGGGGCAUCGGGGGUGUCAAUCCAUUAUCCCCCCCAACUCCUAGGUCCUCUGAGGCUGGAUGUUGGGGAGGUGGGUGUUCUAUGCUAUGUUGCUAUGGCAACCGCCCCCCCACCCCCAAAGUACAAAGAGAGGCAGCUUUCACCCCUACCCCCAGGAAGAACCUGGGUCUGGCUGGGAAUCUUCCCUUGAGAAUCCUCCUUUCUGAUGCACAAGCCAUGGCAUGCAUAAGCGUCACCCUCUUUUCAGCACUGGAAGCUGAGGGUUUUGACAGCGGCAGGCCACAUAGGCAAGGAAGCUGGUGCAUGCAGUGUCUCUGGGCAAGGUUAUGCAAACCAAAAAGAAGAAUGUACUUCAUCUGGUUGGGCUGGAUUCCCUCUGAUAAGCCUUCCCAGUUGACUGAAAGAUGAGGCUAGGCUCUAGCAAGUUGAAGUCAAACCAGCUCCUUCAAGAAGCUUUGAGCAGAAUGAAGUGGGGAGGACCCAGCUUCCAGCCCAGGAAGCCCACUGUACCUGGAGCCAUCUGGGAUAAGACUUUGACCCAUGACUCCCAUAUCCACAGCCUGUCCAUCCUAGCCCAUCCCAGUUUAUCCUGUAUCAUUUGAGCUGGGAUUCCCACAUCCUCUGAGUUGGAAGUCCCAUCUCAAGUCUUCAAUAAAGACUCUUGAAUAUUGAAUCACAUUAA
RNAcentral lists this long non-coding RNA (1467 nucleotides) under Homo sapiens (human). RNAcentral's name for it is "MIR9-1 host gene". Lineage: Eukaryota; Metazoa; Chordata; Mammalia; Primates; Hominidae. The record is from RNAcentral.